GCCAGUAUUGCUUAGUGGUAGAGCAUCGACCUAUUAACCAGAAGAUCCUGGUUCGAUUCCUGGUCAGGGCA
Molecule: transfer RNA, 71 nt
Filed under: Myotis brandtii (Brandt's bat)
Lineage: Eukaryota; Metazoa; Chordata; Mammalia; Chiroptera; Vespertilionidae
Rfam family: tRNA
About the family: Transfer RNA (tRNA) molecules are approximately 80 nucleotides in length.
Source: Rfam by way of RNAcentral